This 1971-nucleotide non-coding RNA is filed under the name Gossypium hirsutum (cotton). RNAcentral describes it as "Bacterial large subunit ribosomal RNA". It matches the Rfam family "Bacterial large subunit ribosomal RNA", at positions 116 to 2044 of the family's 2925-position model. The record is from Rfam by way of RNAcentral. Lineage: Eukaryota; Viridiplantae; Streptophyta; Magnoliopsida; Malvales; Malvaceae.
GAAUUAUUGUAAUUUGUUUUAACCUAAGACAUAAACAAUAACCAGGAUAAUCUUUUUAUUCUAAAAAGAACUCCUAAAAGAAAAGAAACUAAUCUUAAAGAAAGUGAUAAACAAAUAAAAAUAGAAGAUCUAUUUUGACAUGAAAUAGAUAUAUCCAUAUAUCUUUGACUUAUUUUUAUGAAAUGAUAAAAUAUGGCAAAACCUCUACCAAAAUUUGGUUCACGUAGGAAUGGGAGCAGUAGUGCAUAGAAAAGUGUGAUAGUCCAGUAGUCGAAAGUAUCACUAGUUUACGCUCUGACCCGAGUAGCAUGGGGCACGUGGAAUCCCAUGUGAAUCAGCAAGGACCACCUUGUAAGGCUAAAUACUCUUGGGUGACCGAUAGCGAAGUAGUACCAUGAGGGAAGGGUGAAAAGAACCUCUAUUGAGGAGUGAAAUAUAGCAUGAAACCGUAAGCUCCCAAGCAGUGGGAGGAGCCCAGGGCCCUGACCGCGUGCCUAUUGAAGAAUGACUCGAUGACUCAUAGGUAGUGGCUUGGUUAAGGGAACUCAUCGGAGCCGUAACUAAAUCGAGUCUUCAUAGGGAAAUUUUCACUGCCUAUGGACUCAAACCUGGGUGAUCUAUCUAUGACUAGGAUAAAGCUUGGGUGAAACUAAGUGGAGGUCUGAACCGAUUGAUGUUGAAGAAUCAGCGGAUGAGUUAUGGUUAGGGGUAAAAUGCCCCUCGAACCUAGAGUUAGCUGGUUCUCCCCAAAAUGUAUUGAGGCGUAGCAAUCUACUGGACAUCUAAGGGUAAAGCACUGUUUCGGUGCAGGCCACGAGAGCAGUACCAAAUCGAGGCAAACUAUGAAUACUAGAUAUGACCUCAAAAUAAUAGGGGUCGAGGUCGACUAGUGAGACGAUGAGGGAUAAGCUUCAUCAUUGAGAGGGAAACAAUCUGGAUCACCAACUAAGGCCCCAAAAUGACCUCUCCGUGAUAAAAGAGGUAGGGGUGUAGAGACUACCAUGAGGUUUCCAUAGAAGCAGCCACCCUUGAAAGAGUGCGUAGGAGCUCACUAAUUGAGAGCUCUUGCGCCUAAGAUGAAUGGGGCUAAGAAAUUAGCCGAAGCUGUAGGAUGUAAAAAUGUAUCGGUAGGGGAGCGUUCUAUCUUAGGGGGAAGCACCCGCAUGAGUGGGAGUAGACGAAGCGAAAGUGAAAAUGUCGGCUUGAGUAAUGCAAACAUUGGUGAGAAUCCAAUGCCCCGAAAAACGAUGGGUUCCUCCACAAGGUUCAUCCACAGAGGGUGAGUUAAGGCCUAAGCUCAGGCCGAAAAGCGUAGUCGAUGGACAACAGGUGAAUAUUCCUGUACUACCCCUUGUUGGUCUCAGGGACGAAGGAAGCUAGGUUAGUUGAAAGAUGGUUAUCAGCUCAAUGAGGCAAGGUGCCCCUACUUUUUUAGGGUAGGAAAGGGUAGAAAAAUGCCCCAAGCCAAUGUUCGAGUACCAGACACUACGACGUUGAAGUAACCCAUGCUAUAUUCCUAGGAAAAGCUCAAACAACCUUCAACAAAAGGGUACCUGUACCCGAAACUUACACAGGUGGGUAGGUAGAGAAUACCUAGAGGCGCGAGACAACUCACUCUAAGGAACUUGACAAAAUAACCUUGUAACUUCGGGAGAAGGGGUGCCUCCUCACAAAGGAGGUCGCAGUGACUAAGCCCGGGCAACUGUUUACAAAAAAUACAGAUCUCCGUAAAGUAUUAAGACCAUUUAUAAGGGUUGACGCCUACCUAGUACAGGAAUGUCAAGGAAGUUGGUGACCUGAUGAUAGGGAAGCUGGUGACCAAAGCUCUAGUGAAUGAUGACCAUAACUAUAACGGUCCGACCAUAACUAUAACGGUCCUAAGGUAGCGAAAUUCCUUGUCAGGUAAGUUUCGACUUGCACGAAAGGCUUAACGAUCUGGGCACUGGCUCGGAGAGAGGCUCAAUGAAAUAG